This 279-nucleotide long non-coding RNA is filed under the name Phasianus colchicus (ring-necked pheasant). RNAcentral describes it as "lncRNA (ENSPCLG00000008038.1)". The record is from RNAcentral. Lineage: Eukaryota; Metazoa; Chordata; Aves; Galliformes; Phasianidae.
GUUCAAACCACUUCACUGAAAAAGAGAGAAUUCCAAGGCAGAAGUUUCCUUCACUCAGUGGCUCAAGCUUCCUGUUUUUGCUGGCCUCCUCACUCAAGUCUACCUUGAGUCCUUCCCUCUGCGCACUACUGCAUGUCAAAGCUGGUGAUGCCGUGCAGAGCAGGAAUGAGGUAAAAAGCCUGACAAGGAGAUCCUUUUCUUGAAGAAAUUCUAACUGAAUCAGUAGGCACAGUUUGCAGUGAACUGCAGGGUAAAAUGAUAAAACACCACACACUGGAU